CGGCUCAGUAACACGUGGAUAACCUACCCUUGAGACGGGGAUAAACCCGGGAAACUGGGUAUAAUACCCGAUAGAUCUCGACUGCUGGAAUGCAUCGAGCUUGAAAGCUCCGGCGCUCAAGGAUGGGUCUGCGGCCUAUCAGGUAGUAGUGGGUGUAGCGUACCUACUAGCCUACGACGGGUACGGGUUGUGAGAGCAAGAGCCCGGAGAUGGAUUCUGAGACACGAAUCCAGGCCCUACGGGGUGCAGCAGGCGCGAAAACUUUACAAUGCUGGAAACAGCGAUAAGGGGACCUCGAGUGCCAGGUUACAAAUCUGGCUGUCGUGAUGCCUAAAAAGCAUUGCAUAGCAAGGGCCGGGCAAGACCGGUGCCAGCCGCCGCGGUAACACCGGCGGCUCGAGUGGUAACCGUUAUUAUUGGGUCUAAAGGGUCUGUAGCCGGCCGGAUAAGUCUCUUGGGAAAUCUGGCAGCUUAACUGUCAGGCUUUCAGGAGAUACUGUCUGGCUCGAGGCCGGGAGAGGUGAGAGGUACUUCGGGGGUAGGGGUGAAAUCUUGUAAUCCUUGAAGGACCACCAGUGGCGAAGGCGUCUCACCAGAACGGACCUGACGGCAAGGGACGAAAGCUAGGGGCAC
Molecule: ribosomal RNA, 633 nt
Filed under: uncultured Methanosaeta sp.
Lineage: Archaea; Methanobacteriati; Methanobacteriota; Methanomicrobia; Methanotrichales; Methanotrichaceae
Description: bacterial SSU rRNA
Rfam family: Archaeal small subunit ribosomal RNA
Source: RNAcentral